Long non-coding RNA from Ictalurus punctatus (channel catfish), 3087 nucleotides. RefSeq lists it as uncharacterized. The transcript is spliced from 3 exons. The record is from RefSeq and is a predicted model, not a curated record. NCBI's taxonomy places the organism in Eukaryota, Metazoa, Chordata, Actinopteri, Siluriformes, Ictaluridae.
ACAUGUCUACCAAUAUGUAACUUUAGAGACGGUCUCUUAAUUUGCGCAUAACUGCGAAUAUCGAACGUCCAACGUCAAGCCAACUUUAUGCCAGUCCGCUAGGUUCAAUCCCACCACUAGGGGGCCGCCCCAUAGUAACAUUUUACAAUAGUAUCGGCAAUCUAUUGCUCUUCCUGUGAGACCCGGAUGUGAAGACCCGGAUUUUAAGACCUGAAUUUUUGCAGCCUGAAUUUGUGAGGUUGAAAAAUAUUGUGUUGAUAUAUUACCUGACGAAUAAUGAAGAAUUGUAUUUCAACAGCUGAUUUUUGUGGAACCAUAUUUUAGGAAGAAACCUGGAAAUGUAUCUGAAAAUCCCAGUAAAUCAGCAGUUUCUGAAAUACUCAUACCAGCCCAUCUGACAUCAACAACCCUGGUCAAAGUUACUGAAAUCACAUUAAUUAGCAUCCUCACCUGAGAUAGCACAUCAUGCUGAGUGUGGACUGGAAGAUCCUCACUUCCUCUCUCCCCACACCCUUCUCUAUCUCUGUAUUGAGAUCACCUUAAAAAUGAGCAUCUCCAUCGGAAAUAGCACAUCAUGCUGAAUGGAGACUAGGAGAUCGUUACAUUGUUUCCUUCUUCAUCUCCUCACACCCUUCUCUCUCUGUAUCAACAUCAUCUUAAAUACACCCAAGGUCUAUAUGCAUUACAUAACAUGUUUUGAUGUGAAUAAGUUGUUGACAAUACUGGUUUGCUAUAUAAUACAAAAGGUCUUAGUGCAUCUGGAAAAUAUGGUCUCAUUCUCUCAACAGCAGUUCAAAUAAAAAUAUUGCAUGCCGGUAAAGGCAUAUCCUCCCAGGGUCCCUCACUCAAAUUACCUCCUGUAUGUAAAUAAGGUACAUCCUUCCACAAACACCAAGUUAUAAUCACAAACAAAACCAUUUGGUGGACUCACAGAGAAGCUGGGUAUUUAGGGGAGAGCUGGCCAAAUAUUCGGGGAAUCUGUAGAUAGAUCUACAAGAUCAUUAUGUGUAGUUUUUCUAUACCAGGUAUGCAAGUUUUGACUUUCUAAUGUUGUAUUAUUAUGUCUUGAAUUUGGUUGGAAUGUAAUGCUGAAUGUAAUUCUUUCUUCUUAUUAUAAGUAGUAGUAUUUGAUUUGAAUGUUUUCAUACCAGGUUAAAUAGAUUACUAGACUGGAUUAUAUUCUGAAUCAUUCUGUAAUUAUUGUCUCUAGUAGAUUACGUUAAGUCCUUGUUACCACAAAUCUGCAACCAGGUUAGUACAGGCUAAAAUCCAGGUUUAGGUGGAGCAUUGGGGCACUCCAGCUGAGAUUUUAGAGUCCAGGCUAACAACUUGGCGUUAAGUGAAGUGUACUUAGUGUGUAAAGGCUCGAUACGAAUUUCCGUUUAGGACAACUUAAAGUUGAUCGACCCAGUCUAAAUAGAGUGAAGUCUAAACCUCUGGUUAUUGUAAUAUUUUCUUUUUAAGUGUACAUAGGAAACUAUUGCAUGAUUAUAUAAAGCUAAUCUUAACUCAGAUAUCAUUGGUCUAUUUCUAUUGGUCUAUAAAUUUUAGUGGUCAUGGUCAUGGUGUUACUAUCUAAGGGGACUAAACAAAGUACUUUUUAGAAAAGGGCAAGCAUGGGUGGCCAUCUAAAUACCAUUAGUCAAUUACCUCCGCCUAAUGACCAAGACUGGCAAGUUUGUGACCGUGAGAUCCGCGUACACGGCCGGCAAGAGACUCUGAGGGAUAUGGAAUCCGAAUGAACAAGCACUAAUUAAAGUAUAGAAUAAACUAGAAUGAAUCAAAUGUAAAAGUAUCAAAAUACAAAUAACUAGGAAACAUAUACAACAUUGAGGUUUUUACACUUGGAGUCAGGUUUAAUUUAAGAGAGAGUCAAACAGAAUUGGAAUGACAAAUUUAAUAAUCUAUAUGUAUUCACCUCGCUUUGAAAAGACAGAAACACAUGGGAAUCCUCCUACCACGUCAUCGGAUACCGUCGUUGGACUAGUGAGUGGACCCUUACAACAUAUUUUUCCAAAUUCUAAUGUUUGACGAACAUUAACCGAAGCUCUUGACCUGUAUCUGCAUGAUUUUAUUCAUUGUGAACAAAUGACUGUCUGAUUGGAUAAUUACAAUAACAAGCAGGGAUACAGGUAUUCCUAUUUAAGUGGCUUGUGACUGUGUAUAUGAUUAUAUAAACAUUUGAACUGUGUAGGAACUUUUGACAAGCUCAGCUCAGUGCAGACUCGCACAGUAACUGACUAUGGAACGUGUCAUUCUAACUCUGAAUCAGUAGCUUACAUUUGUCCUCAUUAUUCCCUGGCUAUAGAAGGCGUGCAGGAUAGGGUUAAUAUGCUCCGUGCUACAGAUGAACAAAACACAGUUUCUGUGAGUCAUACUGACAUGACUUAUGCAAUGCCCAUAUAGAAAGAGGAACCUUUUUGGACUCAUGGAGCCACAGUGCUAAUAGUACCAGAUCGUGGGAUGCGAAAAUAUGCUACUAUGUGAAUGUGUGUGCGCUGUGGUUGUCAGCCAACAUAUACACAGCAUGUAGCAUAGAACAUGAGCGUUUUACUCAUUCCUCAGAAGUGUUUUUAGCACACAACUCAGCUUGUCCUAAAGCCUAAAAUCCAUCUGAUUCCAAUCAAACAUUUCAUCCCACCGCUCCCUAUAGUGGCGAAUUUUUUUGUUUUGUGUUUAUAAAGCACUGACAAUUCAUUUUUUGUAACAAUUGUAUUGAAUUAUUCUUUAAUUUAAAGCAAGCUAUACAUGAAAUGAUAGAUUAUGUACAUAAUCUAUGUGAAAGGUGACAUUGUUAACAUGACCAGGAUUCAUUUACUUCAAGCAUGCACCUGAGAAGGAAGAUAAUCAGAAAUUAAAUAAAUCAAGUAUUCUUACUCUUUAAAUGAUCUAUUAUUCACAUUUUAUUAUGAUUGAACUGCCACUUUUAAAUCACCUGCACAGGCGAUAGAAACAUGAAUGUGACAAUUGUGACCUUUUUGUGAACAACCAAUGUAAACACAUGUGGUUGACUUUUGAUAAUUGUUCUUCCUGUAAAAUUGUAAAACAAAUAUUAUGUUUUUAUUAUUUUGCUCCACUAUUGUUUAU